AGCAGCCGCGGUAAUUCCAGCUCCAAUAGCGUAUAUUAAAGUUGUUGCAGUUAAAAAGCUCGUAGUUGAAUUUCGGGGUCAGCAGGUUGGUCGUGCCUCUGGUACGCACUGGUUUCGCUGAUUCCUCCUUUCUGAAGAACUGUAAUGUCAUUAAUUUGGUGUUGCAGGGAAACAGGACUGUUACUUUGAAAAAAUUAGAGUGUUUAAAGCAAGCUAACGCUUGAAUACAUUAGCAUGGAAUAAUGAAAUAGGACGUUUGAUCCUAUUUUGUUGGUUUCUAGGAUUGACGUAAUGAUUAAUAGGGAUAGUUGGGGGCAUUAGUAUUCAAUUGUCAGAGGUGAAAUUCUUGGAUUUAUUGAAGACUAACUACUGCGAAAGCAUUUGCCAAGGAUGUUUUCAUUAAUCAAGAACGAAAGUUAGGGGAUCGAAGACGAUCAGAUACCGUCGUAGUCUUAACCAUAAACUAUGCCGACUAGGGAUAAAGGGGAUGUUAAUUUUUUAAUGACUCA
This 509-nucleotide ribosomal RNA is filed under the name uncultured fungus. Its description in RNAcentral is "SSU rRNA". It matches the Rfam family "Eukaryotic small subunit ribosomal RNA", at positions 569 to 1080 of the family's 1831-position model. The record is from RNAcentral. Lineage: Eukaryota; Fungi.